This 344-nucleotide long non-coding RNA is filed under the name Capsella rubella. RNAcentral's name for it is "long non-coding RNA (CRUB_LNC003317)". Lineage: Eukaryota; Viridiplantae; Streptophyta; Magnoliopsida; Brassicales; Brassicaceae. The record is from RNAcentral.
AAGAAACACAUACUACUCUAUUUAUUUAGAUUAUAAUCAAAUAAAGCCCGUUUAGUACAAUUAUGUGUUACAUUUUCUUUCUUCUAAAGCAAUCAAAAUAUCACCAUAAAUUAUUAAUCAAAAAAAAAAAAAUUAUUAAUCAAACCAUGUCGCUAUUGAUAAUUGGUGAGGUCGUGAAAUUAUCGUCGACAAAUCAAAAAGUAACUUCUAAUGUAACUUUUUCAUAUGUCAAAGUAAUCAAUAUCUUCUACGGAACUUAUAAUCCAAUAUGCAUAGUUUCACACUUUCACUCAUAAUAAUAAUACAGUACAAAGACAAAAUACAACCGGAUAAAAACAAACAAC